RNAcentral lists this transfer RNA (70 nucleotides) under Raiamas guttatus (Burmese trout). RNAcentral describes it as "tRNA-His". It matches the Rfam family "tRNA". From Rfam's summary of the family: Transfer RNA (tRNA) molecules are approximately 80 nucleotides in length. Their secondary structure includes four short double-helical elements and three loops (D, anti-codon, and T loops). Lineage: Eukaryota; Metazoa; Chordata; Actinopteri; Cypriniformes; Danionidae. The record is from RNAcentral.
GUAAGUUUAGUUUAAUUUAAAAUCUUAGAUCGUGACUCUAAUGAUAGGGGUUAAAACCCCCUAACUCACC